RNAcentral lists this ribosomal RNA (464 nucleotides) under uncultured bacterium. RNAcentral's name for it is "partial 16S ribosomal RNA". It matches the Rfam family "Bacterial small subunit ribosomal RNA", at positions 29 to 507 of the family's 1533-position model. The record is from RNAcentral.
ACGAACGCUGGCGGCGUGCUUAACACAUGCAAGUCGAACGGAAAGGCCCCUUUGGGGGUACUCGAGUGGCGAACGGGUGAGUAACACGUGAGUAACCUGCCCUUGACUUCGGGAUAACUUCAGGAAACUGGGGCUAAUACCGGAUAGGAAUCCUUGCUGCAUGGUGGGGGUUGGAAAGCUUCGGCGGUUUUGGAUGGACUCGCGGCUUAUCAGCUUGUUGGUGGGGUAGUGGCUUACCAAGGCUUUGACGGGUAGCCGGCCUCAGAGGGCGACCGGCCACAUUGGGACUGAGAUACGGCCCAGACUCCUACGGGAGGCAGCAGUGGGGAAUAUUGCACAAUGGGCGGAAGCCUGAUGCAGCAACGCCGCGUGCGGGAUGACGGCCUUCGGGUUGUAAACCGCUUUCAGCAGGGGCGAAGCUUGUGGUGACGGUACCUGCAGAAGAAGCACCGGCUAACUACGUG